UUUAUUGUAUGAGUAAAGGGCAGUAGAACUGUACUUAGCCUGUGCUGAUUGAGGGCAUCAAGAGAGAGGGUGGGGACCUGUCCCGCUCCACUGUUUAAAGACAGAGCUGAUUAGGCUCCAUAGAUAGUCUUUUAUUCUGUUAAGUGACCACUGCAGCUGAAAUCACUGAUAAUCAGGUCUAAAAGUGCUUAGUCGUGCUGUGGGGUCAUGUUUCUGUGGAAGAGAUGUCCCAGACUGCACUAGCAGCGAGGUCCCCCCCUGAGAGCUCAGCUGAAAUCACUGAGAGCUGGGUGGAACCUCAAGAGACCAACUCGCAGAGGUCACAGUGGCAGGUGGCAGCAGAAGAUGACUGCGCAGGGCCAUUGGCAACAGAGUGGUGCAGUGAACGGUGGCACAACAAACAGCAGUGGCCAGAGGAACAGUGAGCAGCUGGAGGAAUGAGCAAGGUGCCUUCUUGCCCCCCACCUGGGAGGUGUCUGUACUCACGUGAAAGCACCUCUGAACUUUGAGUCUCUGCUGACCAAGGACAACACCGGUCAAAGUGAAAAUGAAAAGACAAAAAACAAUAAAAUAUUUUUUCCACUCAAAGGCUUCAAAAACUAGCUAAGGUGAAGAACCCAUCAAGAACCAAGAAUAUAUCAAUAUGUCAUCUGAAGGUUCAAGUGGUAUAUCUAUUUCCGACCAGCCCGAAGCACAAAUAUAGCUACCUACUGAAGAAACAGUGUCUCCAAAACCUAAAGGCAGUUCCCGAUGUUUGUCGGUCAAAGUGUUCCCAUUUAUUAAAGUUACAAAAGGUGGCUACUGGUGCACCUCUUGCAAAAAAGCUUAUGAAGAAGGAAAACUUCCCAAUGCUAUAAUUGGUAAAAGUGGAGGAGCUUGGUUUGUCAAACCGACCAGCAAAGCCAAUGCUGACAAACUACAUGAAAAGGCUGCAAAACACCAGGCCUCUGGAGUGCAUCAAUAUGCAGAAAGCCUUAUAAGCCCACUUUCAAAGCCAAUUUUAGAAGUACUUAAUGAGGCUGUUAAGAAUGCUGGAGACACAACACAGUUCAUGCGAACAAACAUGGCCGUGGCAUCCUACUUUCUAUUUAAGCAAGAGAUACCACACACUACAAACUGGAGGCCAGUGUUAAGUGCAUUGUCCCUUGUUCAUCCUGAAGUUGAACACUGGUUCCGAACAAGACCAGCAAAUGCUCACUAUCUUUCUGCAAGAAACUCAACUGACUGGCUAGAAGCAUGCAGUGCAACAGUGAAAGACUCAAGAGUUGAAAAAGUGAAGAACUCUCUCACCACGUUCAAAAAAUUUGCAUACAUGGCUGAUGAAUGCACUGAUGCAAAUGGGCAUCAAGUAUUAAGUCAUUGUGUAUGUUAUCUUGAUGUCAGGGGUAGGCCAGUAGAUGCAUUUCUAGAUGUUCAAGUUAUAGAAGACACAUCGGCUGCAUCUGUGACAACCCACAUCGUAGAAGAGUUAAAUGCUUGUCAGUUGGACCCCAAACAGAUGGCUGCUUGUGCAUUUGAUGGAGCUGCAAACUUCUCUGGAAGACAUGGUGGAGUACAUGCUUUGCUCAGAGAAAAGUGUAACCCUAAUCUCUCCUAUACGCACUGCAGAGGCCAUCUACUCCAACUAGCGCUAGUACAAGCUGCAGAAUCUUCAAAAGACAUUUAAAAAGCUAUAAAUUUAAUGUCUUCAUUAUAUUCUUUUUUCAACAA
Malaclemys terrapin pileata is the source of this 1710-nucleotide long non-coding RNA. RefSeq lists it as uncharacterized. The record is from RefSeq and is a predicted model, not a curated record. Lineage: Eukaryota; Metazoa; Chordata; Testudines; Emydidae. The transcript has 2 exons.